GGAGAGCGGGGACGGCGAGAAGCGCGCGUAGAAGUCCACUUGGCCCGGAACGCCGCGUUCGGGCGCCGGGCCGGAGCCUGAGUCCGAGCCUCCAGUGUGCCCGCAAUGGCUAGGUGAAAUCAACAAAAUCAUGGCAACUUAGAAGUGUGUUCAUACACAACGCAGCUAUAAGUGUGGUCACACGGGUUCGAGCCCUGGUCUGGGAGGAUCCCACAUGCCGCGGAGCAACUAGGCCCGUGAGCCACAACUACUGAGCCUGCGCGUCUGAAGCCUGUGCUCCGCAACAAGAGAGGCCACGAUAGUGAGAGGCCCGCGCACCGCGAUGAAGAGUGGCCCCUGCUCACCGCAACUAGAGAAAGCCCUCGCACAGAAACGAGGACCCAACACAGCCUAAAUUAAAUAAA
Balaenoptera acutorostrata (minke whale) is the source of this 404-nucleotide long non-coding RNA. RefSeq lists it as uncharacterized. The record is from RefSeq and is a predicted model, not a curated record. The transcript has 3 exons. NCBI's taxonomy places the organism in Eukaryota, Metazoa, Chordata, Mammalia, Artiodactyla, Balaenopteridae.